GUGAUAAAGCUCCACAACCAUAUUACGUAUUACAUCAAUGGUAGACAUAUAUCAUCAUCGUGCCUUUAUUCCAUACAUAAAGUGUUAGAUUACGGGUCAUGGAUUGUCCAUGCGGACCGACCUAAUUCAAUCCAGUCUUUUUUUUGUUUUAAUUAUCUAUUAAGUUACUGAGUAACUGGCUUAUCCACCCACCACUGUACAUAUACGCUACUUUCUUCUAUUUAAAGACAGAGGAGUGAAAAACAAAAUUCCGAGAAAGAAACAACAAAAACAUCAACAAAAAAUUCAAAGAGGAGGCUUUUUAGUUUGUGAAUCAACUCUCCGUUUCCUAGAGAGACUAAGAUUGACUUUGAGCAAUUGUGUCAGUAGAAAAUUCAAUACUUUCGCUGCAACAGAUUAAGAAAUGGCUGAACGGGGACAAACUCGAAUCACUCCAAGUGGGAGUUCUGGAUAUCGAGCAAAGAGACAAGGUAGAAGAGUACGUCGUCGAAGAGAAUGUUUUCGAGGUCGUGAGAUCAUAUGAAAUGGUGUUCCCACGACGACACAAAUCUUUUACGGAAUGAAAGAGUUAUACGAAGGGAAAGAGAAAAGAAAUUGAAAGAGUUCAAGUCUUUUAAGAUGUCACCUAACAUAAGUGUUGCUAGUUUUAUACAUCUAUUUGAAAUGAAACGUGUAGAACUAGAAAAUUAUGUAGAAAUCUUGGAUUGGGAAGCAUUAGCUAUUUUAGCAAAUUCUCUCCGUGACCCUUGGGGCGAGAGAUUAAUUGAUGUUUACCACGAGAUUUGGCCUAGCGAGACUUUUUGGGUGUACAUAAGUCGUCUAGAAUAUUUGUGGAAUGACUUUUAUUUU
Molecule: long non-coding RNA, 849 nt
Organism: Capsicum annuum
Lineage: Eukaryota; Viridiplantae; Streptophyta; Magnoliopsida; Solanales; Solanaceae
Exons: 2
Source: RefSeq, a predicted model, not a curated record